RNA transcript from Musa acuminata AAA Group (dessert banana), 6605 nucleotides. It is a transcript of the gene named callose synthase 12, with no coding region annotated. NCBI's taxonomy places the organism in Eukaryota, Viridiplantae, Streptophyta, Magnoliopsida, Zingiberales, Musaceae. The transcript has 4 exons. The record is from RefSeq and is a predicted model, not a curated record.
CUUCCAUCUCCCCACGUAGGGCUUCAAAUCUAGCGGCCACGGCGAAGUUUCAUUUGUCGCGCACAGAACCCUCCCUUCUUCUUCUCCUCCUGCUCAUCCGCAUCUCCGGUUUACCCAUCGUCCUCUCCUUCUCCACGGAAGUUCGUCUUGGAAGAGAUCUACACCCAAUCUCCUGCCUCGCUGCUCCAAUCUCUUUCAGAUCAAAAGAUUUUUCAGAAGACAGGAGCGAGGGAGAGGGAGAGGGAGAAGGAAAAGGGCGUAACUCCUAGAUCUGAUGCGCUUAUGAGCCUCCGCCAACGCCCCACCCGGCCCGGCCCGGGCGCCACCCAUGGCCCCGGCGCCGGUCCCGCGGCGCCGCCCCGCACCGCGGCCGCGCCGCCUGUCGCCGGAGAGGGGGAGGAUGAGGUCUACAACAUCAUCCCCAUCCACAACCUCCUCGCGGAUCACCCGUCGCUCCUCUUCCCCGAGGUGCGCGCUGCCAUGGCGGCCCUACGCACCGUCGGGGAGCUCCGUAAGCCGCCCUUCUCCCGGUGGCACGACGGCCUCGACCUCCUCGACUGGCUCGGCGCCUUCUUCGGCUUCCAGCGCGACAACGUCCGCAACCAGCGGGAGCAUCUCGUCCUCCUCCUCGCCAACGCCCAGAUGCGCCUCCAGCCGCCGCCGGACAACAUCGACGUCCUCGACCAUUCCGUCGUGCGCCGCGUUCGCAAGAAGCUCCUCCACAGCUACACCUCUUGGUGCGCCUACCUCGGCCGGAAAUCCAAUGUCUGGAUCUCGGACUCCGGCCUCCGCCGCGUCGCCACCGACCCCCGCCGCGAGCUCCUCUACGCCGCCCUCUAUCUCCUCAUUUGGGGCGAGGCCGCCAACCUCCGCUUUGUCCCCGAGUGCCUCUCCUACAUCUUUCACCACAUGGCCAUGGACCUCAACCGCAUCCUCGAGGACUACAUCGACGACGCCACCGGGCAGCCCGCUCUCCCCGCCAUCUCCGGUGAGAACGCCUUCCUCGCCCGCGUCGUCACCCCCAUCUACGAUACCAUCAAGCGCGAGGUCGACGCCAGCCACAACGGCACCGCCCCCCACUCCGCCUGGCGCAACUACGACGACAUCAACGAGUACUUCUGGAGCAACCAUUGCUUCGACCGCCUCCGCUGGCCGCUCGACCGCUCCAAGAACUUCUUCGCGACGCCGCCCACGAAGAACCGCGUGGGAAAGACGGGCUUCGUGGAGCAGCGCUCCUUCUGGAACCUCUACCGCAGCUUCGAUCGCCUCUGGGUCGUGCUCAUCCUCUUCCUUCAGGCGGCCAUCCUCGUGGCGUGGCAUGGAGACACGUACCCGUGGCAGAAUCUCCAGACUCGCGACGCCCAGGUACGCGUCCUGACCAUCUUCAUCACCUGGGCCGGCCUCCGCCUCCUCCAGUCCCUCCUCGAUGCCGGCACCCAGUACGGCCUCGUGUCGCGUGACGCCAAGUUGCUCGGUGUGCGGAUGGUGCUCAAGAGCCUCGCCGCUGCGGCGUGGACUGUUGCAUUCGCCGUCCUCUAUUCCCGGAUCUGGGACCAGCGCAACCGCGACCGGCGGUGGUCGACGGCUGCAAACCAGCGGCUGGUGAACUUUUUGGAAGCCGCUGCUGUGUUUGUCCUCCCGGAGCUGCUCGCCAUCGUGCUCUUCAUCAUCCCUUGGCUCCGCAACUUCCUCGAGAAGACCAAUUGGAGGAUUUUCUACAUCCUGACUUGGUGGUUCCAGAGCCGUACCUUUGUUGGUAGAGGACUGAGGGAAGGUCUAUUCGACAAUGUCAAGUACUCUCUGUUCUGGGUCGUGCUCCUUGCUGUGAAAUUCUCCUUCAGUUACUUCCUGCAGAUCAAGCCUAUGGUCACCCCGACCAAAGCCAUACUCCGCCUUCAAAACGUCCAAUAUGAGUGGCAUGAGUUCUUCUCUCGUACAAACCGGUUUGCGGUGUUCAUCUUGUGGCUACCUGUCAUCCUGAUCUAUCUAAUGGACAUCCAGAUCUGGUACUCAAUCUUCUCUUCAUUGGUCGGGGCGCUGGUUGGCCUGUUUGCGCAUCUUGGGGAGAUUCGUGAUGUGCAACAGCUGAGGCUGAGGUUUCAGUUCUUCGCUAGUGCAAUGCAGUUCAAUCUGCUGCCAGAGGAGCAGCUAUUCCAGGAGCAUGGUACACUGAGGAGUAAGUUCAGGGAUGCUGUCAACCGGCUGAAGCUGAGGUAUGGCUUGGGGCGCCCAUACAAGAAGAUCGAAUCGAAUCAAGUGGGUCCCAGCAGGUUUGCAUUGAUAUGGAAUGAGAUUAUUCAGACAUUCAGAGAGGAGGAUAUUUUGAGCGACCGUGAAGUGGAGCUUCUUGAGCUUCCACCCUAUACAUGGAAUAUCCGGGUGAUCAGGUGGCCAUGCUUGUUACUCUGCAAUGAGCUGUUACUUGCACUCGGCCAGGCAAAGGAACUGAAGGCUGAUGACAGAAAACACUGGAGAAAGAUUUGCAAGAAUGAGUAUCGCCGCUGUGCAGUCAUAGAGGCCUAUGACAGUGUCAAGUACUUUCUGCUGGAGAUCAUCAAGGAGGGAACUGAGGAGCACUCCAUUGUUGCUGGAUUGUUCGAGGAGUUUGAUAGUUGCAUUCGGGUUGAGAAGUUCUCGGUGGAAUAUACUAUGGGUGUUUUGCAGAGUAUCUAUGACAAACUGGUUGUCCUACUGGGUACAUUAGUCAAGCCAAAUAGGAAUAAGAACAAAGUGGUCAACACAUUGCAGACCCUCUAUGACAUAGCUACCCGCGACUUUCCUAAGAACAAGAAGAGCAUAGAGCAACUUAAAGAUGCAGGGUUGGCACCAACCGGGUCAAGCGGUCUGCUAUUUGAGAAUGCUGUUGAAUUGCCCAGUGCAGAAAAUGAGAACUUCUACAAGCAGGUAAGGCGGCUGCAUACAAUUCUUACAUCCAAGGAUUCCAUGAAUAAUGUUCCAAAGAAUCUGGAGGCCCGAAGGCGUAUUGCUUUCUUCAGCAACUCAUUGUUCAUGAACAUGCCACGAGCUCCGCAGGUUGAGAAGAUGAGGGCCUUCAGUGUUCUGACUCCAUAUUACAACGAGGAAAUUUUGUACAGCAAGGAGCAGCUUCAGUCAGAGAAUGAAGAUGGCAUCUCUAUCAUAUUCUAUUUGCAGAAGAUUUACGAAGAUGAUUGGUCAAACUUUUUGGAACGUAUGCGGAGAGAAGGAAUGACUGAUGAAGAGGAGCUAUGGGGUAAAAGGUCGAGGGAUCUUCGGCUUUGGGCCUCAUAUAGGGGUCAGACGUUAUCACGCACUGUGCGAGGGAUGAUGUACUACUACAGGGCUCUCAAGAUGCUUACCUUUCUUGAUUCUGCUUCUGAGAUUGACAUAAGGGAGGGGUCGAGGGAGCUACAUUCAGUUGGUUCAUCAAAGAGGCAGAAAACUGAAUUAGAUGAUUCAGAGGAUGGUGGCAAGUCGCCAUCACGAAGCCUGAGCAGAGCUAGCAGUGGCGUCAGCUUGCUGUUUAAAGGCCAUGAGCAUGGAACUGCCCUAAUGAAGUAUACUUAUGUUGUUGCCUGCCAGAUUUAUGGGAACCAGAAAGCAAAGAAUGAUCCACGUGCCAAUGAUAUUUUGUAUCUAAUGAAGAACAAUGAGGCCCUUCGUGUGGCGUAUGUUGAUGAAGUGAAGUCAGGCAGAGAUGAAGUGGCCUAUUAUUCAGUUCUUGUAAAGUAUGAUCAGCAAUUGCAGAAAGAGGUGGAGAUAUACCGGGUCAGGUUGCCUGGGCCACUGAAGCUUGGAGAAGGCAAGCCAGAGAAUCAGAACCAUGCCUCCAUAUUUACGAGGGGUGAUGCAGUUCAGACGAUUGACAUGAAUCAAGACAACUACUUUGAAGAGGCCCUCAAAAUGCGCAAUCUGUUGGAGGAGUAUUCCUACAAGUAUGGUUCUCGGAAACCGACAAUCUUGGGAGUCCGAGAACAUGUUUUUACUGGUUCUGUCUCUUCCCUUGCUUGGUUCAUGUCUGCUCAGGAGACAAGCUUUGUCACACUUGGACAGCGGGUUUUGGCAAACCCUUUAAAGGUUCGUAUGCAUUAUGGCCAUCCUGAUGUCUUUGAUCGCCUUUGGUUUCUGAGUCGAGGUGGCAUUAGCAAAGCUUCCAGGGUCAUUAACAUUAGCGAGGACAUAUUUGCAGGCUUUAAUUGUACACUUCGUGGUGGUAAUGUUACCCACCACGAAUAUAUCCAAGUGGGUAAAGGACGGGACGUAGGCUUGAAUCAGAUAUCUAUGUUUGAAGCCAAGGUUGCUAGUGGCAAUGGUGAACAGACCUUAAGCAGAGAUGUUUAUAGGUUGGGUCAUAGGUUGGACUUCUUUCGAAUGCUCUCUUUCUUCUACACAACUGUGGGGUUCUACUUUAACACCAUGAUGGUGGUACUGACUGUUUAUGCAUUUGUUUGGGGACGACUUUAUCUGGCUCUUAGUGGUCUUGAGAAUUCUAUCAGUAACAAUGCUGACUCUACGAAUAAUGCAGCUCUGGUUACUGUUCUUAACCAGCAGUUCAUUAUCCAGCUAGGCCUUUUCACAGCCUUGCCAAUGAUUAUAGAAAACUCCCUAGAGCAUGGCUUUCUUCCUGCAAUAUGGGACUUCUUCACAAUGCAGCUCCAGCUUGCAUCCAUGUUCUAUACCUUCUCUAUGGGAACUAAGACCCAUUAUUAUGGGCGUACAAUCCUUCAUGGUGGUGCAAAGUAUCGUGCUACAGGACGUGGUUUUGUUGUCGAGCACAAGAAAUUCGCUGAGAAUUAUAGACUCUAUGCGCGUAGCCACUUUAUCAAAGCAAUAGAACUUGGAUUAAUAUUGACUGUUUAUGCUUCUUAUAGUGCUAUUGCAAAGAACACUUUUGUAUACAUAGUGCUGACAAUCUCGAGCUGGUUUCUGGUAGUAUCAUGGAUCAUGGCUCCAUUUGCAUUCAACCCAUCUGGUUUUGAUUGGUUGAAAACUGUUUAUGACUUUGAUGAUUUCAUGAACUGGAUUUGGCAUCCUAGUCGCAUUUCUGCAACAUCUGAUCAGUCUUGGGAGAAAUGGUGGAAUGAAGAAAAUGACCACCUUCGGACAACUGGUCUUUGGGGAAAGCUACUGGAGGUAGUAUUAGAUCUCCGAUAUUUCUUUUUCCAAUACGGUAUCGUAUACCAGCUAAAUAUUGCCAGUGGGAGCCACAGUGUUUCUGUGUAUCUGCUUUCAUGGAUUGGUAUUGUUGCAGCUGUUGGGAUUUUUGUUGUUGUGGAUUAUGCCCGAGACAGAUAUGCUGCAAAGGAACAUAUUACAUAUCGUGCCAUCCAAUCCUUCGUAAUAGUCUUUGUGAUACUUGUGAUCGUUUUGUUGUUCGAGUUCACAUCCUUUGAGUUUAUUGAUAUCUUUACAAGCCUGUUGGCAUUUAUUCCAACCGGUUGGGGUCUAAUAUUAAUUGCUCAAGUGAUCAAACCAUUUAUUGAAUCCACUGCUCUAUGGGAAACUGUGGUUUCCAUGGCUCGGUUCUAUGACAUCUUGUUUGGGGUGAUUGUGAUGGCACCAGUGGCAUUUUUGUCCUGGAUGCCUGGUUUCCAGGAAAUGCAGACGAGGAUUCUCUUUAAUGAAGCAUUCAGUCGAGGUCUCCAGAUAUCACGAAUUCUUACUGGGAAAAAACAGGACACAAUUUGAGAUGGGUAUGUUCCGUUAGUUCAGACUGGUCUACUAUUAUUCUGGCACAAGCAACUGUCACCAAUUAAAAAGAGAAAAAAAAAAUCAGGUAAACACCAAAGGGACAACAUGGGUAAGAAAUGGAGCUCUGUGAUAAGUAAAUUAUACAUCAGGAACAGAUCCUUACCAGAUUGGAUUACAGAGUAUGCAUCUGAGAAGUCGCUUUGUGACAUACUUGGGAUGCUAGUGAUCGUGAUGUUUGACUCUACCUGUUGGUAUAUAUCAUGAUCAUGCUUGGUUACCGGAGAUACUCCUGAACGGCUAGCGGUCUCUGUUUCUUGCAGGUGGAAACACCUGCGGUCUUUGUUAUUUGUUGCUUUUGUAUCUUAUCGAGCUGGUAUUCCCUUGGAUUGGAUGGUGUGUCUCUCAUUUGGAACUUGACAUCUCUGUUCUAAUAGGCUUUCCUUGGCAAAGAUCUGGAAAAAUUGAGAAUUAUUAGACUAAUGAAGCUACGAUGUGGGUGUUGAUAUUUUUUAUUCAUAACGUUCCCUGGAGCUUUUCUUUCUUUUCUUUCAGUUAUCUCGGUUUCUAUCUAUGAACACACGUCUUUCCCUGAGGACCUCGAGAUUAGGAUCCACCAAGUUCUGCUAAAGUACACUCAUUCUAGCAAGUGGCAGGCAAUUUUCUGAUGACGGGGCUUCCCAUGCACCGAUUAAGUCCCACUCCUGUAUGUUGCAACAAGUCGAUAAGCAAGAUGUUUUCAGUUCAGUGUUUGUGCAGCCAAGUUUGAUGAUGGGCAGCGAAACAGAAUGCUUACUGUUGGGUGUUAGAGACUUCUCUUCUAGGAUGCUUAUGCAUUGUAAUUAAUCUCUAUUUGAGUUUCUUUGGCUUAUUUAAUCUCUUGUUUAUAUCAGACUUUAUGCUUUGUAAUUAAUCUCUAUUUGAGUUUCUUUGGCUUA